This 286-nucleotide ribosomal RNA is filed under the name uncultured bacterium. RNAcentral describes it as "partial 16S ribosomal RNA". It matches the Rfam family "Bacterial small subunit ribosomal RNA", at positions 338 to 624 of the family's 1533-position model. The record is from RNAcentral.
CCUACGGGAGGCAGCAGUGGGGAAUAUUGGACAAUGGGCGAAAGCCUGAUCCAGCAAUUCCGCGUGUGUGAAGAAGGCCUUCGGGUUGUAAAGCACUUUAGUUGGGAGAACAGCUUGGCCACACCAAGCCUUGACGGUACCCAAAGAAUAAGCACCGGCUAACUCUGUGCCAGCAGCCGCGGUAAUACAGAGGGUGCAAGCGUUAAUCGGAUUUACUGGGCGUAAAGGGUGCGUAGGUGGUUUUGUAAGUCGGAUGUGAAAGCCUGGGGCUNAACCUCNGAAUUGC